RNAcentral lists this long non-coding RNA (1148 nucleotides) under Zalophus californianus (California sea lion). RNAcentral describes it as "lncRNA (ENSZCAG00015010536.1)". Lineage: Eukaryota; Metazoa; Chordata; Mammalia; Carnivora; Otariidae. The record is from RNAcentral.
UUAGGAUUGAGGUAAUGCUGUCCUCAUAGAAAGAGUUUGGAAGUGUUCCUUCCAUUUCUGUGUUUUGACACCACUUUAGAGGAAUGGGUAUUAAUUCUGCUUUAAAUGUUUGGUAGCAUUCCCCUGGGAAGGCGUCUGGCCCUGGGCUCUUGUUUGUUGGGAGAUCUUUGAUUACUGACUGCUUCAGUUUCCUUGCUGGUUAUGGGUCUCUUCAGGUUCUUUAUGUCUUCCUAGUUCAGUUUUGGUAGUUUAGACGUCUCUAGGAAUGCAUCCAUUUCUUCCAGAUUGCCUAAUUUGUUGGCAUUUUGUUUCUCUUAAUAUGUUCUUAUAAUUGUUUGUAUCUUUUGGUGUUAGUUUUGAUCUCUCCUCUUUCAUUCAGGAUUUUAGUUAUUUGGGUCCUUUCUCUUUUCUUUUUGAUAAGUCUGGGCAGGGUUUUCUCCAUCUUAUUAAUUCUUCCAAAGAACCAGCUCCUAGUUUUGUUGAUCUGUUCUACUGUUCCUUUGGUUUCUAUUUCCUUGAUUUCUGCCCUAAUCUUAUGUCUCUUCUCCUGCUGGUUUCAGGCUUUAAUUCCAAGAUCUGUAGAAAAUCCCCACAAGAUACUUGGGCGAUGAAGGGCGAUGGCUGGCCCAAUUGUACAGUGCCUUCCUCUUAAGGCCAAACAGAGCAUUUUCAAUGUGAAGAGGGGAAGAUGUGUAUAUAUGUAUGUAUGUGGAUAUAUAUAUGAAGGAAAGCCACUAAGAAAGCCAUUUGUGAGUUCUUUGACUUGAACUAUUUUCCACUUUGCUUACUUUCUCCUGAUUCUCUUAGGCCUUAAGGGCUUUCUUUGUUGCACUGCAUGAUCCUGUCCUGUUAGGCAUCCUCACAUUGUUCUGUGAUCAUGAUUUCUUGAAUGUCUUUUCUCAUAUCUGUCCUAAAGGGCCAAGAAGAAUUGGAGGAUGGAGAGCAGAGAGCCUUGAGGGCCAAAAAACGAGCACUGCAGGAAUGUGAGGAAUUAUUGGAAGACCACUACAAUGCCCUGAGUUCUUUGAAAACAACUCAAGAAGCCGAAUUGAAAAUGCUGAGGAGGAAAGUGGAUAUUGUGGUGGAUUUCUCUAAACAAAGACAAGUGGCUGCAGAAGAACAAGAAAUUGGAGAAAUGCAAGAUCAGC